RNAcentral lists this long non-coding RNA (204 nucleotides) under Nicotiana benthamiana. RNAcentral's name for it is "long non-coding RNA (NBEN_LNC000253)". The record is from RNAcentral. Lineage: Eukaryota; Viridiplantae; Streptophyta; Magnoliopsida; Solanales; Solanaceae.
UAUGAACAACUCAAAGUUGUCUCUCAAAUGGCUCAACAAAAGCUCUACAAUGAUGCUCAACUAAUGUCAAUAUGUAUAUCAAUAUUGGGAGGUGUUGUGUGUUUAAAAACAGCUCAAUAGACCUCUUUUUAUAUGUGAAAAUUGUGUAUGUCCGUUGCUUAAUUGGCAAUCAAUUAUGCUGAUUUUAUGCAAGGAUAAUCGAUU